GGGAAAAGGAACUAAACAGGAUUCCCUUAGUAAUGGCGAACGAACAGGGAUCAGCUUGGGUUGGAAACCGGGGCUUCUGCCUUGGAUUGUGGCCUUUAGACAUACUACCAACGGCGGCGCGAGCGUAAGCCUCUUGGAACAGAGCGUCUACGUGGGUGAGAAUCCUGUGUUUCGCUUGAUGCCCGCCGUGCACGGUACUUGCUCUCAGAGUCACGCUCCUCGGAAUUGGAGCGUAAAUUGGGUGGUAAAUUUCAUCUAAAGCUAAAUACAGGCUCGAGACCGAUAGCAAACAAGUACCAUGAGGGAAAGAUGAAAAGGACUUUGAAAAGAGAGUUAAAAGUGCUUGAAAUCGCUGAACUGGAAGCGAAUGGAACUAGUGCUCUGGUUGAGAUUGCUGUAAAUGGCUGCGACAUCUGGGCUCUGGAACGCAAGUCCUUUGUCUGGCUUGAAGUAGUCGCUUGCAAUGUGUCUCAGCUUGAACAUCAACUUCUAUGCAUACGUGAGGAUGGGCCCUUG
This 516-nucleotide ribosomal RNA is filed under the name Symbiodinium sp. Al55.16. RNAcentral's name for it is "LSU rRNA". It matches the Rfam family "Eukaryotic large subunit ribosomal RNA", at positions 54 to 532 of the family's 3401-position model. Lineage: Eukaryota; Dinophyceae; Suessiales; Symbiodiniaceae. The record is from RNAcentral.